UACAAUUUGUUGAAAAAUAAACAAGCUCUC
This 30-nucleotide non-coding RNA is filed under the name Rattus norvegicus (Norway rat). Lineage: Eukaryota; Metazoa; Chordata; Mammalia; Rodentia; Muridae. The record is from RNAcentral.